Molecule: long non-coding RNA, 1418 nt
Organism: Stegastes partitus (bicolor damselfish)
Lineage: Eukaryota; Metazoa; Chordata; Actinopteri; Pomacentridae
Exons: 3
Source: RefSeq, a predicted model, not a curated record
CAUUUCGGCUAACCCUUUCCGCAGACAAAUUCAUCACUGCUGCUCUACUUUUCCAAUCCGGCAGGAAACGACGGUGAGAGACGUGUCACAUCCUGCGGGCUGGACGAGGGAACAAUCGCGUCGAGCCGGUCCGAGGGAGGCGAUUGGAUGAGGCAGCUGUACGAUUAAGAGCGUUUUUUUUUUGUUUUUUGUUUUAUUCUUUUUCCUCUGAGGUCUGAGUGCGCUGUCAAGGGUCUGAGGUGAAGGGAGGAUGGCGACAGGGACGGGAAAUGGAGCAGGAUGUAGCUGACAGCGCCAUCUCCCACAGGAUGCUGGGAAAUGUAUGGCUGACAAAGGGCUCGGCUCGCGGUUAAUGGUCUGAAGCGUGGUCGGGGAGAGGAGGCCGACUUAAAUACCAAGACAAGAUAACAGUAAGAGUUGAAGGAAAAUGAGAGCUUACAUGUAAACAAUCUGGUACGUGCGAAGCGGCGAGGAGCUGUUGCCACAACUUUCCCACGUGUCUUCACUUCCCCGCACCUAAAAAGUCCCCAGCUGGCAGAGAAGCAUGAACGCUCAGCAGAGCCACCAGCAGAAUCCCAAAAGAACAGAGUCAACAGCAGGAAAACCUCAAGACCUCCAGACGUGCCGAAUGUGAACGAGCAGGCGUACGCACGGUCUGAGCUUCUCGUGGAUCCAAAGCACUGCCACAUGGGCUGCUUUGCAUCUUAACUGACCUCUUCCUCAAAGCCAGAUUCACACUAACGUACGAUGCUGCCCGUUUGCGCAGCGGUGACUAAUCAGCUCCACGUUCCAUCCUCGCAAAUAGAAAUAAUCAAACGAGCAGCGAUGAUAGCGCCUCUGUUCACUAUGAUUGACUGGAUAAGAUGCUAAAUGAAAGAAGAGGGAGGAGGUUCAUCAGCACCAGAUGCAGCGACACCUGAGUGAUGCACAGAACCUACAUAUGAUCCUCCUGUUGGAAUAUUUGAGCUAAUGUUGCAUCUGCUUCAAUUACACAAAAAUUCCACAUUCUGUUCUGUGGAAACGUGACCCGACUGAGUUCACCGUGUCCCGCUGACCCACGGGGAGAAGCCUUAGAGUGGAUGUGGGUGCACAUGUGACUUCUGGUGUUACUACGAUUCCUGAGUGGCCGGUAGACGUGAGCUCACACAAUGGGCCUCUGUGUGAGAGCGAGCGAUGGGGAGAAGGGAUUAAAAGGGAGAGAAGCCGAAACGGACAGCGCCACAUGUUAGACUGGACUUUGUGCACUGUAAAAAAAAAAAUAGGGUGAAAAUCUGUCAGCAAGAGCGCCAGAAAAUAUACAUUAAAUACUAUAAUGUUCAAACACUGUUCAAAAAUAAUGAAAAUAUUGGCAAAUAUCUGUAACGUAAUUAUACUUUUAGUAGGUUUAUAUACAGGAAAAUCAUUCUAUGUGACACAGU